AACGAACGCUGGCGGCAGGCCUAACACAUGCAAGUCGAGCGAGACCUUCGGGUCUAGCGGCGGACGGGUGAGUAACGCGUGGGAACGUGCCCUUUGCUACGGAAUAGCCCCGGGAAACUGGGAGUAAUACCGUAUGUGCCCUUCGGGGGAAAGAUUUAUCGGCAAAGGAUCGGCCCGCGUUGGAUUAGGUAGUUGGUGGGGUAAUGGCCUACCAAGCCGACGAUCCAUAGCUGGUUUGAGAGGAUGAUCAGCCACACUGGGACUGAGACACGGCCCAGACUCCUACGGGAGGCAGCAGUGGGGAAUCUUAGACAAUGGGGGAAACCCUGAUCUAGCCAUGCCGCGUGAGCGAUGAAGGCCUUAGGGUUGUAAAGCUCUUUCAGGUGGGAAGAUAAUGACGGUACCACCAGAAGAAGCCCCGGCUAACUCCGUGCCAGCCGCCGCGGUAA
Molecule: ribosomal RNA, 449 nt
Filed under: uncultured bacterium
Lineage: Bacteria
Description: partial 16S ribosomal RNA
Rfam family: Bacterial small subunit ribosomal RNA
Source: RNAcentral